GACGAACGCUGGCGGCGUGCCUAAUACAUGCAAGUCGAACGCAUUUUCUUUCACCGUAGCUUGCUACACCGAAAGAAAAUGAGUGGCGAACGGGUGAGUAACACGUGGGUAACCUGCCCAUCAGCGGGGGAUAACACUUGGAAACAGGUGCUAAUACCGCAUAAUUCCAUUUACCGCAUGGUAAGUGAAUGAAAGGAGUUUUUGCGUCACUGAUGGAUGGACCCGCGGUGCAUUAGCUAGUUGGUGGGGUAACGGCCUACCAAGGCUGCGAUGCAUAGCCGACCUGAGAGGGUGAUCGGCCACACUGGGACUGAGACACGGCCCAGACUCCUACGGGAGGCAGCAGUAGGGAAUCUUCGGCAAUGGACGCAAGUCUGACCGAGCAACGCCGCGUGAGUGAAGAAGGUUUUCGGAUCGUAAAACUCUGUUGUUAGAGAAGAACAAGGAUGAGAGUGGAAAGUUCAUCCCUUGACGGUAUCUAACCAGAAAGCCACGACUAACUACGUG
This 507-nucleotide ribosomal RNA is filed under the name uncultured bacterium. RNAcentral's name for it is "partial 16S ribosomal RNA". It matches the Rfam family "Bacterial small subunit ribosomal RNA", at positions 28 to 507 of the family's 1533-position model. The record is from RNAcentral.